This 500-nucleotide ribosomal RNA is filed under the name uncultured bacterium. RNAcentral describes it as "bacterial SSU rRNA". It matches the Rfam family "Bacterial small subunit ribosomal RNA", at positions 29 to 521 of the family's 1533-position model. The record is from RNAcentral.
AUUGAACGCUGGCGGCGUGCUUAACACAUGCAAGUCGAUCGGUAACAGGUGUAGCAAUACAUGCUGACGAGAGGCGGACGGGUGAGUAAUGCUUGGGAAUCUGCCUAUUAGUGGGGGACAACCCGGGGAAACUCGGGCUAAUACCGCAUACGCUCUACGGAGGAAAGCCGGGGACCGCAAGGCCUGGCGCUAAUAGAUGAGCCCAAGUCGGAUUAGCUAGUUGGUAGGGUAACGGCCUACCAAGGCGACAAUCCGUAGCUGGUCUGAGAGGACGACCAGCCACACCGGAACUGAGACACGGUCCGGACUCCUACGGGAGGCAGCAGUGGGGAAUAUUGGACAAUGGGGGCAACCCUGAUCCAGCGACGCCGCGUGGGUGAAGAAGGCCUGCGGGUUGUAAAGCCCUUUCGGUGGGGAAGAAAAGUCUCGACCUAAUACGUCGGGACCUUGACGUAACCCACUAAAGAAGCACCGGCUAACUCUGUGCCAGCCGCCGCUGU